RNAcentral lists this non-coding RNA (45 nucleotides) under Schistosoma mansoni. The record is from RNAcentral. Lineage: Eukaryota; Metazoa; Platyhelminthes; Trematoda; Strigeidida; Schistosomatidae.
AUCCGGCUGACGAAUCCCAAAUAGGACGAAAUGCGCGUCCUGGAU